This 386-nucleotide RNase P RNA is filed under the name Rubrobacter sp. RNAcentral's name for it is "RNase P RNA component class A". It matches the Rfam family "Bacterial RNase P class A". From Rfam's summary of the family: Ribonuclease P (RNase P) is a ubiquitous endoribonuclease, found in archaea, bacteria and eukarya as well as chloroplasts and mitochondria. Lineage: Bacteria; Bacillati; Actinomycetota; Rubrobacteria; Rubrobacterales; Rubrobacteraceae. The record is from RNAcentral.
CGGGCCGUCCGACCCAUCGCUGCGGCGGGGGAUGCGUCCUCCGUCGUAGAGCAAAGUCCGGACUCGCAGUAAAGGCCGCUCGGGCUAACAACCCGAGGGGCGGUGGGCGCAAGCCCUCCGCCACGUCAAGUGCAACAGAGAGCAGACCAGCCGAUGGUGGAAGGCUUCGCCUCCCACACAGGUGAUGGGUGAAAGGGUGGGGUAAGAGCCCACCGGCGGUACCCCGAGAGGGGCCGGCCAGGUAAACAACCGGUGCGAGCAAGCCAAAGUGCUCCGGUCGAAAGACCGGACGGGUAGGCGCAGCUUCCCCGCGGGGAAGCCCGGAGGAAACUCCGGAGAUGGAUGAUGGGAUAGAGCGGAAUCCGGCUUACGGGACGGCCCGGACU